RNAcentral lists this ribosomal RNA (492 nucleotides) under uncultured bacterium. RNAcentral describes it as "partial 16S ribosomal RNA". It matches the Rfam family "Bacterial small subunit ribosomal RNA", at positions 29 to 507 of the family's 1533-position model. The record is from RNAcentral.
AGUGAACGCUGGCGGUAGGCCUAACACAUGCAAGUCGAACGGCAGCACAGUAAGAGCUUGCUCUUACGGGUGGCGAGUGGCGGACGGGGGAGGAAUACAUCGGAAUCUACUUUUUCGUGGGGGAUAACGUAGGGAAACUUACGCUAAUACCGCAUACGACCUACGGGUGAAAGCAGGGGAUCUUCGGACCUUGCGCGAUUGAAUGAGCCGAUGUCGGAUUAGCUAGUUGGCGGGGUAAAGGCCCACCAAGGCGACGAUCCGUAGCUGGUCUGAGAGGAUGAACAGCUAGACUGGAACUGAGACACGGUCCAGACACCGACGGGAGGACGCAGUGGGGAAUAUUGGACGAUGGGGGCAAGCCUGAUCCAGCCAUACCGCGUGGGUGAAGAAGGCCUUCGGGUUGUAAAGCCAUUUUGUUGGGAAAGAAAAGCAGCAGGUUAAUACCCCGCUGUUCUGACGGUACCCAAAGAAUAAGCACCGGCUAACUUCGUG